GAAUUCACUAGUGAUUCAGGCCUAACACAUGCAAGUCGAGCGGGGAUAGGGUGCUUGCACCUGAUUCCUAGAGGCGGACGGGUGAGUAAUGCUUAGGAAUCUGCCUAUUAGUGGGGGACAACGUUCCGAAAGGGGCGCUAAUACCGCAUACGUCCUACGGGAGAAAGCAGGGGAUCUUCGGACCUUGCGCUAAUAGAUGAGCCUAAGUCGGAUUAGCUAGUUGGUGGGGUAAAGGCCUACCAAGGCGACGAUCUGCAGCGGGUCUGAGAGGAUGAUCCGCCACACUGGGACUGAGACACGGCCCAGACUCCUACGGGAGGCAGCAGUGGGGAAUAUUGGACAAUGGGGGCAACCCUGAUCCAGAAAGGCCGCGUGUGUGAAGAAGGCCUUUUGGUUGUAAAUUAAAUGGAGCGAGGAGGAGGCUUACCUGGUUAAUACCUGGGAUAAGUGGACGUACUCGCAGA
RNAcentral lists this ribosomal RNA (464 nucleotides) under uncultured bacterium. RNAcentral describes it as "bacterial SSU rRNA". It matches the Rfam family "Bacterial small subunit ribosomal RNA", at positions 34 to 485 of the family's 1533-position model. The record is from RNAcentral.